GGGGUUAGCGGGGAAUCGAACCCCGGGCCUCUCGCACCCAAAGCGAGAAUCAUACCACUAGACCACUAACCC
Molecule: transfer RNA, 72 nt
Filed under: Trichinella nativa
Lineage: Eukaryota; Metazoa; Nematoda; Enoplea; Trichinellida; Trichinellidae
Description: tRNA-Pro
Source: RNAcentral